CUUGGGUCACCUCGCAGUAAUUCGCUACAAACCCCGCCAGGCCCGGAAGGGAGCAACGGUAGUAGUAAAAUUAGGUGCAGAGUGUUGGCUUUUGCGG
This 97-nucleotide signal recognition particle RNA is filed under the name Gammaproteobacteria bacterium RIFCSPHIGHO2_01_FULL_42_8. Its description in RNAcentral is "signal recognition particle sRNA small type". It matches the Rfam family "Bacterial small signal recognition particle RNA". From Rfam's summary of the family: The signal recognition particle (SRP) is a universally conserved ribonucleoprotein involved in the co-translational targeting of proteins to membranes. Archaeal SRP consists of a 7S RNA and homologues of the eukaryotic SRP19 and SRP54 proteins. Lineage: Bacteria; Pseudomonadati; Pseudomonadota; Gammaproteobacteria. The record is from RNAcentral. RNAcentral also lists the same sequence under 4 other names.